GUCCACACCGUAACGAUGAUUACUAGGUGUUGGAGGAUUGACCCCUUCAGUGCCGCAGUUAACACAAUAAGUAAUCCACCUGGGGAGUACGACCGCAAGGUUGAACUCAAAGGAAUUGACGGGGCCCGCACAAGCAGUGGAGUAUGUGGUUUAAUUCGACGCAACGCGAAGAACCUUACCAAGUCUUGACAUCCCUUGACGAUGCUGGAAACAGUAUUUCUCUUCGGAGCAAGGAGACAGGUGGUGCAUGGUUGUCGU
RNAcentral lists this ribosomal RNA (258 nucleotides) under uncultured bacterium. RNAcentral's name for it is "partial 16S ribosomal RNA". It matches the Rfam family "Bacterial small subunit ribosomal RNA", at positions 793 to 1055 of the family's 1533-position model. The record is from RNAcentral.